RNAcentral lists this ribosomal RNA (492 nucleotides) under uncultured bacterium. Its description in RNAcentral is "partial 16S ribosomal RNA". It matches the Rfam family "Bacterial small subunit ribosomal RNA", at positions 29 to 507 of the family's 1533-position model. The record is from RNAcentral.
AGUGAACGCUGGCGGUAGGCCUAACACAUGCAAGUCGAACGGCAGCACAGUAAGAGCUUGCUCUUACGGGUGGCGAGUGGCGGACGGGUGAGGAAUACAUCGGAAUCUACUUUUUCGUGGGGGAUAACGUAGGGAAACUUACGCUAAUACCGCAUACGACCUACGGGUGAAAGCAGGGGAUCUUCGGACCUUGCGCGAUUGAAUGAGCCGAUGUCGGAUUAGCUAGUUGGCGGGGUAAAGGCCCACCAAGGCGACGAUCCGUAGCUGGUCUGAGAGGAUGAUCAGCCACACUGGAACUGAGACACGGUCCAGACUCCUACGGGAGGCAGCAGUGGGGAAUAUUGGACAAUGGGCGCAAGCCUGAUCCAGCCAUACCGCGUGGGUGAAAAAGGCCUUCGGGUUGUAAAGCCCUUUUGUUGGGAAAGAAAAGCAGCAGGUUAAUACCCCGCCGUUCUGACGGUACCCAAAGAAUAAGCACCGGCUAACUUCGUG